This 403-nucleotide ribosomal RNA is filed under the name uncultured bacterium. RNAcentral's name for it is "partial 16S ribosomal RNA". It matches the Rfam family "Bacterial small subunit ribosomal RNA", at positions 28 to 526 of the family's 1533-position model. The record is from RNAcentral.
GACGAACGCUGGCGGCGUGCCUAAUACAUGCAAGUCGAACGCAGUGGGGACGGGUGAGUAACACGUGGGUAACCUCCCAUCAGAGGGGAUACCACUUGGAAACAGCUGCUAAACCGAUACUGAUGGAUGAACCCGCGGUGCAUUAGCUAGUUGGUGAGGUAACGGCUCACCAAGGCCACGAUGCAUAGCCGACCUGGGAGGGUGACUGGCGCCGCGGGGACUGAGACACGGCCCCGACACCUACGGGAGGCAGCAGUAGGGAAACUUCGGCAAUGGACGACAGUCUGACCGAGCAAAGCCGCGUGAGUGAAGCAAGUUUUACGAUCGUAAACCUCUGUUGUUAGAGAAGCGGUAUCUAACCAGAAAGCCACGGCUAACUACGUGCCAGCAGCCGCGGUAAUUC